RNAcentral lists this long non-coding RNA (518 nucleotides) under Olea europaea subsp. europaea. Lineage: Eukaryota; Viridiplantae; Streptophyta; Magnoliopsida; Lamiales; Oleaceae. The record is from RNAcentral.
AAGGUGCUAGGUCUGUGUAGAAUGAGUUGGUAAUCACAUUUUGAAGAAUUAAAUUAUUUUCAUCUUACCAAGUUCGAAUGUUAAAGAAUCCAUACUUCAAGAUGUCUUAAAACACUUGUGAAGGCAAUUUAGUCAUGGGUUCUUGCAAAGCAACCUUCAGAUAAGGAGACUCUUGAGUAAUUCUAGGCGGAGGACCAAACACGAAAGAACAGAUUGGUGCAGCCCGAUGAUUAUUUGUCUGUGAAGGCAGGAUACUAACUAAAGCCAACGAAAAUGGAAUGACAGGGACUCCUUAAUUGGUCUCUGAAAUGUUGGCUCUCGCGGUCCCUGAAUUUACUUUAUCUUCAGUAUUAAAAUUAUCCAGGAUAAUCACCGAAGUACCUCGAUAUUUGCAAGGAGGGUCAUGAGAAUCAUGAAUACCAUCUAUUCCUUGAAGUGCAUCGAUUUGCCCAUCAUUUUCGUCAAUCUAAUCUUGCAAAAAGUUUGGUAUUCAUGAUAAACCUACAAAAAAAUGAAGU